UACAGAGGGGGCAAGCGUUGUUCGGAAUUACUGGGCGUAAAGGGCGCGUAGGCGGCCUGCUAAGUCGAACGUGAAAUCCCCGGGCUCAACCCGGGAACUGCGUCCGAUACUGGUAGGCUUGAAUCCGGGAGAGGGAUGCGGAAUUCCAGGUGUAGCGGUGAAAUGCGUAGAUAUCUGGAGGAACACCGGUGGCGAAGGCGGCAUCCUGGACCGGUAUUGACGCUGAGGCGCGAAAGCCAGGGGAGCAAACGGG
Molecule: ribosomal RNA, 253 nt
Filed under: uncultured bacterium
Lineage: Bacteria
Description: partial 16S ribosomal RNA
Rfam family: Bacterial small subunit ribosomal RNA
Source: RNAcentral